Molecule: long non-coding RNA, 206 nt
Organism: Oreochromis niloticus (Nile tilapia)
Lineage: Eukaryota; Metazoa; Chordata; Actinopteri; Cichliformes; Cichlidae
Exons: 3
Source: RefSeq, a predicted model, not a curated record
CGCGUGCGGAGGGAAGUGGAAAAAAAGUGCGAGAGAGAGGACCGUUCGAGCACUUCCUCACAGCCCCAGAAUUGUGUUGCUUGUGUCACUGAGGAGUGUGGAACGAGAGAGAGCAGUGAGCACGGGGAGUGCAGAGACACAGGAGCAGAGAGCACUAAACAGGGACUUUUUGGGAAGAAGACACGACACGGGAGUAAAGGGAGAGC